GACGAACGCUGGCGGCGCGCCUAACACAUGCAAGUCGAACGAGCGAGAGAGAGCUUGCUUUCUUGGGCGAGUGGCGAACGGGUGAGUAACGCGUGAGGAACCUGCCUCAAAGAGGGGGACAACAGUUGGAAACGACUGCUAAUACCGCAUAAGCCCACGGUGCCGCAUGGCACAGAGGGAAAAGGAGCAAUCCGCUUUGAGAUGGCCUCGCGUCCGAUUAGCUAGUUGGUGAGGUAACGGCCCACCAAGGCGACGAUCGGUAGCCGGACUGAGAGGUUGAACGGCCACAUUGGGACUGAGACACGGCCCAGACUCCUACGGGAGGCAGCAGUGGGGAAUAUUGCACAAUGGGGGAAACCCUGAUGCAGCGACGCCGCGUGGAGGAAUAAGGUCUUCGGAUUGUAAACUCCUGUUGUUGGGGAAGAUAAUGACGGUACCCAACAAGGAAGUGACGGCUAACUACGUG
Molecule: ribosomal RNA, 466 nt
Filed under: uncultured bacterium
Lineage: Bacteria
Description: partial 16S ribosomal RNA
Rfam family: Bacterial small subunit ribosomal RNA
Source: RNAcentral